RNAcentral lists this ribosomal RNA (117 nucleotides) under Photobacterium phosphoreum. RNAcentral describes it as "partial 16S ribosomal RNA". It matches the Rfam family "Bacterial small subunit ribosomal RNA", at positions 1 to 107 of the family's 1533-position model. Lineage: Bacteria; Pseudomonadati; Pseudomonadota; Gammaproteobacteria; Vibrionales; Vibrionaceae. The record is from RNAcentral.
UUAAUUGAAGAGUUUGAUCAUGGCUCAGAUUGAACGCUGGCGGCAGGCCUAACACAUGCAAGUCGAGCGGUAACAGAAAAGAAGCUUGCUUUCUUUGCUGACGAGCGGCGGACGGGU